This 487-nucleotide long non-coding RNA is filed under the name Marmota monax (woodchuck). The record is from RNAcentral. Lineage: Eukaryota; Metazoa; Chordata; Mammalia; Rodentia; Sciuridae.
CUUGGAACAGAUCAUUUUCUGAAGACGUAACUCUGAGUGGUCACAGGGACAGUGUGGUGGACAGUGUGUCACGUCAUGUGUGGUCCCAGGCCAUGCGGGGCUCAGAGCCUGUCCAAAGCAGCAGUGGCACGUGCCCACGCCUGAGUCCCCUGUCAGCCAGCGGCCGAGGUGGGGGACCGGGAGGCUUCAGGCCCAGGCCCUGCAGACGCCUUGGCAGGGCCCAGCGUGUCCCCCUUCAGGAGGGCCCCUCCUCUCGGGGCGCCUGGAAGGCCCGCAUGCCGUCGUCCUUCCUGAAGGACGGCCCUGAGUCCAGAGAGAGUGGUGAUCAGGUGGGCAGUCUGCUGAGGACAGCGAGGGGGAGGGCUAGUCCUGCCCUCAUCCCCUGUGGCUCUCCAGGCACCUGGUCACCUGGCCAUGGCCCCUGCCAAGGGCCUGCACCAGGUGGAACAGGAAACCCCACCGCGCUGUGGGUUGAACAAAGCCAGCG